AUACGGAGGAUGCAAGCGUUAUCCGGAUUUACUAGGUUUAAAGGGUGCGCAGGCGGAAUGGUAAGUCAGUGGUGAAAGCUCCCCGCUUAACGGGGAAAUUGCCAUUGAAACUGUCAUUCUUGAGUGUAGUUGAGGUGGUUGGAAUGUGUUGUGUAGCGGUGAAAUGCGUAGAUAUAACACAGAACGCCAAUUGCGAAGGCAGAUCACUAAACUACUACUGACGCUGAGGCACGAAAGCGUGGGGAGCGAACAGGAUUAGAAACCCCGGUAGUCC
RNAcentral lists this ribosomal RNA (274 nucleotides) under uncultured bacterium. RNAcentral describes it as "partial 16S ribosomal RNA". It matches the Rfam family "Bacterial small subunit ribosomal RNA", at positions 523 to 796 of the family's 1533-position model. The record is from RNAcentral.